This 133-nucleotide ribosomal RNA is filed under the name uncultured bacterium. RNAcentral describes it as "partial 16S ribosomal RNA". The record is from RNAcentral.
AGUUAGCCGAUGCUUAUUCUUCAGGUACACGUCAUUUAUUCCUCCCUGAAAAAAGAGGUUUACAACCCAUAGGCCGUCAUCCCUCACGCGAGAUUGCCCCGUCAGGCUUUCGCCCAUUGCGGAAAAUUCCCUA